Molecule: ribosomal RNA, 505 nt
Filed under: uncultured bacterium
Lineage: Bacteria
Description: bacterial SSU rRNA
Rfam family: Bacterial small subunit ribosomal RNA
Source: RNAcentral
GAUCCUGGCUCAGGAUGAACGCUAGCUACAGGCUUAACACAUGCAAGUCGAGGGGAAACGAUAGAGAAAGCUUGCUUUUUCUAGGCGUCGACCGGCGCACGGGUGAGUAACGCGUAUCCAACCUGCCCAUCACUUGGGGAUAACCUUGCGAAAGUAAGACUAAUACCCAAUGACGUCUCUAGAAGACAUCUGAAAGAGAUUAAAGAUUUAUCGGUGAUGGAUGGGGAUGCGUCUGAUUAGCUUGUUGGCGGGGUAACGGCCCACCAAGGCGACGAUCAGUAGGGGUUCUGAGAGGAAGGUCCCCCACAUUGGAACUGAGACACGGUCCAAACUCCUACGGGAGGCAGCAGUGAGGAAUAUUGGUCAAUGGACGAGAGUCUGAACCAGCCAAGCAGCGUGCAGGAAGACGGCCCUAUGGGUUGUAAACUGCUUUUAUAAGGGAAUAAAGUGAGUCUCGUGAGACUUUUUGCAUGUACCUUAUGAAUAAGGACCGGCUAAUUCCGUG